UGUAGCUCAGUGGUAGAGCAUAUGGAUCUUAGGAACAGUGGAAGCUGCCUUAUCCCAAUUUCUUGGUCCUUCUGACCAUGUUCCAAGCCCUAGCUAGAGAUGCUGCGGAUUGAAUCUGAGACCUUUUGCAUGCAAAGUAGAUGUUCUGCCACUGAGUUCUGGUCCCGAGUUAAGGUCCCGGGUUCAAUCCCCAGCGUCUCAU
Non-coding RNA from Podarcis lilfordi (Lilford's wall lizard), 202 nucleotides. NCBI's taxonomy places the organism in Eukaryota, Metazoa, Chordata, Lepidosauria, Squamata, Lacertidae. The record is from the annotation of a GenBank genome assembly.